UGUCUGUUCACGUCGUGUUAAUCAGGCUGUCGACACACCUCGGUUUAAUAUAGCUGGAAUUAAACACAUAAAAUUGCUGGAUAAGCACAGAGAGAUUAAUUUGCCAUACUUAAUGUUUAUCUUAAGCAAACAUGAGGUGACGUAAUACGACUCACAGUUGGUCGCCUAACAGACAGUCAAGCAGCAGCUGUGGACAGGUGAUGCAAUUAAUAAGCCUAAAUUUGGUUGAGAAUCCACUGUUGUCUUCAAACAGCGAUGCCUUUUUGUCAUCUGAUGCGGUUUUACCGGGAUGAUCCAACCAAAUGUUGUUCAAACUCCCUUUAAUCCCACAAAAUCUGUGUCGCACAUCUUCAUCCGUCCCUUCUCCGAGAUCGCAGAGAGACCCAGCUCUGUCUUCCUCCACUCCCGUUCCUGUUCUGCCAGGCUCAGAUGAGCUGGCAUCUUACAGAUACAAGAGCGGAGGAGAGACUGCCCAAGGACUGCAUCUGAAUGCUUCAAACAAGAGUUCACUGACAGAAGGAGGUCAUUGAAUUAUUAUCUGUACAGGUACCACAAUCAUGGCACCAAUCGGCACAGAUCUCGUAGGCUGGGCGGUCACAGAGCAACCAGAGGCUGCAUUCCUUUCCAUAGUCGUCCUCUUCAUCGUUAGCAUCGCACUCCUCGUUCUCUGUGCAAGCUGUAAAAAACAUUCAUUUGAGUUGGACAGCCACAGCAUACCCGAGCAGCAGAAAACAUCCACACUUGUGAGCGUGGCAAAAAUGAAUGAUUCAAGAGGCGCCAGACAAAACCCUGCUGAUAACGACAUCACAGAAGAUGAAAUCGGUUUAGAGGCUGUGGAGGGUGAAGGUGAAUACAGACCCUGGAGAAGUCACACUCUCACUCAAGGUUCAAGCCUACAACCUCAAAUAAAUGGCGGGAUUGGGACAACGACUGAGGGAUCGGUAACACUUCAAACUCUCUGAGAAAGUGUGGACAAAAGCCUGCAGAGAACUCCACCAUCUUUAUUAUGCAACCUGAAAUGCUCAAACUAAACAAUCCUCUUCACUAUUUGGAGAUAAAGGGUGUAUGUGUCCUUCUGAAGCUAGGCUGAGGUCCUGCUUUGUGGCAUUGACUCCCAUCAAACUUUGAGACUAUAGGAACUAUAGGAGCCCCUGAUCGGUCCCUCAGCAUUGACUGGAUUGAGUCAAAGCUGAAUCUUUAUGCAAUGGUUCAGACAAGAAUGGUCAGUGUCCCUUAAGAGGAGGAAGCCUGAUCUUCUGGCCACACCUGUUUUGACAAAUAGGGAUCCCUAUUCAGGUGGUCACUUAUAAAUGCAACAUAAACAAGAAAAUCAGGUGUCAUCUCCAUCUGAAGAGGAGGGGGAAGUGUCUGCAUCAUUACCAAAGAGACCUAAACAAAAAUGAAGAUUUUCCUUUUAAUCUUUUUCUAAUGAAGUCCAGUAUUGUGAAAUUAUUCUGUAUUCAUAGUCAUUCUUCGUAGGGGUGCAAUAUAGACUUUCUCUCUCAUAUCAACUGGUCUGUUUAUGUUUUUGGAUUUUUAUAGCAGCAUGCUAGUAAAUACUUUGAGGUUUUGAACAAAUGUAUGUAUUCAAGUGGGCAUGAAUGAUGUAAUUAAAGUAACAGAUGCUUUAGAAUUAA
This is an RNA transcript of Carassius carassius (crucian carp), 1637 nucleotides long. RefSeq lists it as uncharacterized. The transcript is spliced from 9 exons. NCBI's taxonomy places the organism in Eukaryota, Metazoa, Chordata, Actinopteri, Cypriniformes, Cyprinidae. The record is from RefSeq and is a predicted model, not a curated record.